RNAcentral lists this ribosomal RNA (253 nucleotides) under uncultured bacterium. RNAcentral's name for it is "partial 16S ribosomal RNA". It matches the Rfam family "Bacterial small subunit ribosomal RNA", at positions 524 to 776 of the family's 1533-position model. The record is from RNAcentral.
UACGUAGGGGGCUAGCGUUGUCCGGAAUCAUUGGGCGUAAAGCGCGUGUAGGCGGUCCGGUAAGUCCGCUGUGAAAGUCGGAGGCUCAACCCUCGGAUGCCGGUGGAUACUGUCGGGCUUGAGUACGGAAGAGGCGAGUGGAAUUCCUGGUGUAGCGGUGAAAUGCGCAGAUAUCAGGAGGAACACCAAUUGCGAAGGCAGCUCGCUGGGACGUUACUGACACUGAGACGCGAAAGCGUGGGGAGCAAACAGG